This 489-nucleotide ribosomal RNA is filed under the name uncultured bacterium. RNAcentral describes it as "bacterial SSU rRNA". It matches the Rfam family "Bacterial small subunit ribosomal RNA", at positions 791 to 1289 of the family's 1533-position model. The record is from RNAcentral.
UAGUCCACGCCGUAAACGAUGAUCACUGGUUGUGUGCGAUACACAGUGCGCGACUGAGGGAAACCAUUAAGUGAUCCACCUGGGGAGUACGUUCGCAAGAAUGAAACUCAAAGGAAUUGACGGGGGCCCGCACAAGCGGAGGAACAUGUGGUUUAAUUCGAUGAUACGCGAGGAACCUUACCUGGGCUUAAAUGUAGAGUGCAUUAUUUGGAAACAUCUUUUUCUCGGACAGAAUGCAAGGUGCUGCAUGGCUGUCGUCAGCUCGUGCCGUGAGGUGUCAGGUUAAGUCCUAUAACGAGCGCAACCCCUACCGUUAGUUGCCAGCGAGUCAUGUCGGGGACUCUAGCGGAACUGCCGGUGCAAACCGUGAGGAAGUGGGACGACGUCAAGUCAUCACGGCCCUUACGUCCUGGGCUACACACGUGCUACAAUGGCGCAUACAGAGGCAGCUACCUGGUGACAGGAUGCGAAUCUCCAAAGUCGCGUCUC